Molecule: long non-coding RNA, 300 nt
Filed under: Fukomys damarensis (Damara mole-rat)
Lineage: Eukaryota; Metazoa; Chordata; Mammalia; Rodentia; Bathyergidae
Description: lncRNA (ENSFDAG00000027940.1)
Source: RNAcentral
CAGAAAGUUAUACAAAAGGAAUGUGAGUGUUUUCUCCAUCAGGAAGUGCUCAAUGACCUGAUUCCAAUACUACACAAGGUGUUCUGUCUUUGAGAAGUUCCCGUGAUAUCGCUAUAAGAAGAACGGGCGUUUGGGUUGCAGGCAGAAACAACGUCUGUGGUGUUGACAACGCGCGGAAGUCCCCUGGGCUGUUGCUCAGCACGAAUUCCAGCUCCUGUUUGAUGCACUCUUUAGGAAAUGAAGAAGAAACAUUUCCCAGAUUAUUUGUGGUUGUCACUCUGGGAAUGGUUUAGCUUUUGC